GGCAUUUAUCAAUUCUGUACAUGUUCUUCUGACUUCCAGCUGCCACCAAACAUGACUCUCUGUCUGUGGGUGUUCUCCAACCAUGGAACAUGUUAGUGCCAAGAACUUAACUUCAAGAGCAGCCUGCCACUAAUAACUGAAGAGUUUUGAUUUCUGACUGUGUGAUUCACAGUUGAAAAUGCAGUGAGAGGUGAUUGUGGCUGAGGGAAACAAAAUGAAGGUCUAAAACAAUAAAAAGCACUCCUCUGCAACCUUCCCACAGAACAGACUUCUAAAGGAAACAUUUGGCCAGAGGACAAGGCCCAGCAAACAUGCAUUCUUUUUACUACUAUUCCAGUAUAACUCCUGGCUGGUGUCAAACUCCUGACCUCAGGUGAUCUGACUGCACUGGUAAAGAAAGUUUUGGAAGGCAGCUAUGCUCACCACUAUACCACCAACGCUAAAGAAAGUUUUGACUGUGACCAAUCACAUGAGAAACUCAUGGCACUAAAAAAUACUUACCAUGUAAAUAUUGACUGACUGGACAAUGAAAGUGAAGAAUGAAAUGGUAUUAUUCAACAAAAGGAUAUUAGUAACUACAAUAUGCUUCUUAGACAGGUAAGCUUGAUCAGUUAUAACCAUUUGCAAACACUGAAAGGAAUUGCAUGAGUAUAUUGGUAUCUCUGAGAAUAAUUUGGUGAUAUAAAAACCCAGCAAAACAAUAAAUCGAUAGAAAAACUUACAGGAUG
This 728-nucleotide long non-coding RNA is filed under the name Callithrix jacchus (white-tufted-ear marmoset). RNAcentral's name for it is "lncRNA (ENSCJAG00000069997.1)". The record is from RNAcentral. Lineage: Eukaryota; Metazoa; Chordata; Mammalia; Primates; Cebidae.